GAGAUCAUGCCACUGCACUCCAGCCUGGGCAACAGAGCGAGACUCCAUCUCAAAAUAAAUAAAUAAAUAAAUAAAAAUACAGGCUGGGCAUGGUGGCUCACGCCUGUAAUCCCAGCACUUUGGGAGGCCGAGGCAGGCAGAUUACUUGAGGUCAGGAGUUCGAGACCAGCCUGACCAACGUGGAGAAACCCUGUCUCUACUAAAAAUACAAAAUCAGCCGGGCGUGGUGGCGCAUGCCUGUAAUCCUAGCUACUCAGGAGGCCGAGGCAAGAGAAUCGCUUGAACCCAGGAGGCGGAGGUUGCAGUGGGCCGAGAUCAUGCCAUUGCCCUCCAGCCCGGGUGACAGAGUGAGACUCCAUCUCAAAAAAUAAAAAUACAAAAAUUAGCUGGGUGUGGUGGUGCAUGCCUGUAAUCCCAGGUACUCGGGAGGUGGAAGCCGGAGAACCACUGGAACUGGGGAGGCAGAGGUUGCAGUGAGCAAAGACUGUGCCACUGCACUCCAGCCUGGGCAACAAGAGCGAAACUCCGUCUCAAAAAAAAAAGAAAAAAAAAAAAAACCCAAGUGAAAAGUAGGCAAAGGACUUGAAUAGACAUUUCUCUUAAGAUGAUAUAAAAAUGGCCAAUAAGCACAUAAAAAGAUAUUCAACAUUAUUAAUCAUUAGAAAAAUCCAACUUCAAAACCACAAUUGAAUACUACUUCAUACCUGCUAGAUCAGCUGGGAAGAAAAACUCAGAUAAUAACAAGUGUUGGUAAAAUUUGAGCUCUUGUAUAUUAACAGUGGAAGUGUAAAAUGGUGCAGGUGCUUUGGAAAACAGUUUGGCACUUUCUCAAAAUUUAACCCUUUUCCAGUUUAGAUUUUAAAAAAACACAGCUCGAUGCCAGCACUCAUUUAAUUUUACUUAAACAUGUUCUUUGAGGCUGAAGAAAAUCUGACUGAUUUUCAUGUGAAAAUAAAAUAUAAAAACUGUUCUUGGAGUUAUUUCUAAACAGAACUAACAUCAGAAUCAUCUGAACCAUCAAAAUCGUCUAUUUCAGAAAAAUCAGAUCCAUCAAAUGAAUCUUCAGCCAACAACUGUUUGAGAACGAUGCUACGUUUUUUAGGAUUUGACAUUUUCAGUGAUCAAGAAUUACUAUAUUUUAUAAACGGAAAUACAACUAAAAACAGAAUACUAUAAAUAGAAUAAUGUUUUUGUUUCCAAAGUCAAUACACUAGAGCAAUGCAAAAAUAAUAAUAAAUAUUAAUAUGCUUACUCAUGUAUUAAUAAUACAACAAUAUUUUGUGGCAAGGUUAUCUUGGAGUAAAUGCUGCAGCUGCAAGCACC
RNAcentral lists this long non-coding RNA (1323 nucleotides) under Homo sapiens (human). RNAcentral describes it as "HSALNT0209387". Lineage: Eukaryota; Metazoa; Chordata; Mammalia; Primates; Hominidae. The record is from RNAcentral.